UUUCCGUAGGUGAACCUGCGGAAGGAUCAUUAUUGUAUAACCGAGGUGCGAGGGCUGUCGCUGACCCGAAAGGUCGUGCACGCCCGAGUGCCCUCACACACAUCCAUCUCACCCCUAUGUGCACCACCGCGUGGGUCCCCCUUUGGCUUGUUCGGAGGGGGGCUUACGUUUUCACACAAACUUUGUAUGCAGUGUAGAAUGUAUUUUUUGUUUUUGCGAUCACGCAAUCAAUACAACUUUCAACAACGGAUCUCUUGGCUCUCGCAUCGAUGAAGACGAGC
This 281-nucleotide unclassified non-coding RNA is filed under the name plant metagenome. Its description in RNAcentral is "partial contains small subunit ribosomal RNA, internal transcribed spacer 1, and 5.8S ribosomal RNA". The record is from RNAcentral.